GGCUGGACUUGUUCAGAGCUUUCUUUUCCACAGCACUGAAACUAGAGAGCAAGAAGAGGCUUUAGGACACAGGAGGCAGGAGUGCUGGCCCCAGGGCUCUGUGUCAUUGCCAGCUGGCAGUGCCAAGGCCACAAAGCACCUCUGAGGCCCAAAUUGCUAUUUCUGGAGACCGAAGGAAGAACUGGAAGAUUGUGCUAGCAACCCAGAAACACGAUUUCUCCAAAGCUGCAAACGUUUUAUCAUAUGAAGUGACUUGAGGCAGGGUAGGGCAAAGAGCUAACUGAUGGUGUCCUCCAUAAAGAGCUGGGAGGCAGAGGCAGAAGCAGGACCUUAGAUGCUAGCUCCGUUAGACCUCAAGUCCCAAAACCUGCUGAGGAGCAAAAGCUUUAUGAGUUUGGAAUGGGCUCAUUAGUCAGGGACUAUCUGAGGAGAGGAGAGGGAGCCAUUGGGAAGCCCAAGGCCUGAAGAACAGGCAUGACUGCUGGCUGGCAAAUAGGCACCCUGCCUCAGGGCUGGCUGCUGAAGACAAAGGGACUGUACUGUUGGACAUCUCUGGGGAACCUUCUAAGGCACUCUUGUCAUAUAGAGCCAGGUACCUGGGAACACGUGGCCCAGAAGUCCAUAGUUACUUCUCCAAAAUGCAGUGCUUAAGAAAACAGAAUAACCUUGGUGUGGCUCAUUUCCUCUACAAGCCUCUCUUGACUCUAUGUAGCUCUAAGCACAACACUCUAGCACAUUCCCAUGGAAUAUUCUAAAAGAGAAUAUAGUUGUUUCCAAAUGAUACUCACUUUAUAGAUGAGGAGUGAGCUGAAAGAUAUCAGAGACGUCUGACUCACUCACCACCAUCACAAAGCUGCUAAGAGACAUGCUGGACUGAGGGUUCCUGGCUUCAAGAUCACUGUGGUGGUUUGAAUAUGCUUAGCCCAGUGAGUGACACUAUUAUGAGGUAUGGCCUUGUUGGAGGAAAUGUGUCACUGUGGGGGUGGGCUUUGAGACCCUGCUCCUGUCUGCCUGGAAGUCAGUCUUCUGUUUGCCUUCGGAACAAGAGGUAGAACUCACAGCUCCUUCAGCACCAUGCCUGCCUGGAUGCUGCAUGCUUCCUGCCAUGAUGAUAAUGGACUGAACCUCAGAAUCUGUAAGCCAGCCCCAAUUAAAUGUUGUCCCUUAUAAGAGUUGACUUGGUCAUGGUGUCUGUUCACAGCAAUGGAACCCUAACUGAGACAGUCCCCAUGCUUUGCUUCCGUCACACCACAAUGUCACACAUUUGGGUGGCUUUCUCAGUGUCUUGCUCAUACUUGUUGGUCUCUUUUGGGCACAUGCCCCGAUUUCUUGUGAAUCUGUGGUAGGUCUCUUUCUGGUCAAAGUUCUACACAAAGCACAAACUAUGGCUCUUAUCAGAGUUAAGAUAAAAGGCAGCUGCUCCCAUUUAUUUUAUUCAUGUUUAUUUUUAAUUUAGGUGACUAGAGAGCCUGGCUCGUGCAUGGCUAGUAGGAGAUGUGAUGUGAAAGAAGAAGUUACUCACUGCUGAGUGGAAGGUAAUGAGAGUUCCAUUUCCCCUUCCCCUGUCCCUAACGUAAUCGCUGUAGGCCUCCUCAUACAUGCUCUGUACGUGUCGUAUAGCCUGAAAACAUACAAGGUCAUCGUGAAUGGGGAGUUGCAGACAUUUUUGUUUUACCAAGAAAACCCCCUCUUCUGUGUCCUUUGGCGACACUGAUUUGCUGCACACUCCUCUGUGUUUUAAGAGACUUCUGAACAUACAGAGCAAAGCAGAUUCUAGAGGUCCUGAGAUGCUUUUGAAAAAGGAAGGAUAAACUGACCAAGAAUGUUUUAUUACAUUAGAGCCACCUCUUGGUGUGGGGAUUUGUAAACCUGACAGGCUUCACUGUCAACUAGGCCCAUGUAGGAGAUCCUGGUAAGCCACUUGAGGUGGACUCUAUGACCGCAGGGUUUCCUGCCAACCCACAGGCAGGUGUCCACUGUCAAGAUGUUCUGCGUUCAGAUAUCACACAGCUUAGUGGGCGCUUUCUCUAGUGCCAAGACAUAUGACCCCUAAAUCCAUGGGCUUGAGCUCUAUGUGGAGCUAGUCUGAGUCUUGUAACCUCUGGUACAGGGGCUGUGUAAAGAAUGUUCCACAGGGUGCAGUCACUCAUCUUUCAUGUUUAUCAGUUUUACACCUCAGCUCGUACACCCAGUAUGGACAGCACACAAGUUCACUGGAAAUACAGCACUCUUAAGACUGCCCUCCCAGGUCUUCUUAUCCUUCUAAAAGCCCACGUGCCCUGUGAGCUCUCCUCAUGACCUCUUCUGGGCACUGAGUAUUGCGACUUGCAUGCAGCAGGCCAGGAUUUGGCUUUUCAUAACAGGGCAGGCCCUGUUUAGGCCAAGGAUGAGAAGGUGUGUUCUUUCUUCCUCUUCCUUGCCCCACUCUUUUGUCUGUAACCUAAUGUCUGCCUCAUUUUUAAUUAGGAGCACUCUUAAACCAGAAAUCAUAAACAAGCAAACAAGCAAACAAAGACCAGUUUAUGUGUGAACUAGAAACCAUAUAUUACUACUCAUACACACGAUGAGCUCUGGACACUGCUAGCUUCAAGGUUCUACUUACACAAUUUGGGGAACUAUUUUGUUUCUUAAUAACAACUGCCUUAACAGCCGCAAAACUUCCAGGUUUUACUUACUACAUCCUUGCCUAUAAAUGCAAACACUCCAGUGGUUACUUCAGCAGCGAAUAUCACCAGCAGACAGGUAAAAAACUGUAGAGAGAAAAUACUAACAUCAUUAACUUAAUACCUUUUCAAUUUAUUUAGCCUGGUUGCAUUCUCAGUUCUGUGAUAAAACAAACUCAGCUCUGGGAUACACAAAACAGCCUUUCAGUGUUAUUUAGAGAAAGUGAGAAUGUCUGGGAGAAGAGACACACAUUUCACACAGCCAUAGAUGAGAAGCAUCAGGUAGGCACACAAAACCCAAAGACUGAUGGGGAUGGGAAAUGAGGGGUGUUAGAACACCCUGCUUCAGUCUCCCCAUGAGAACUGCUACUGGUAAGGCCUUGGAUAAGGCUAUGCAUUUGCUAACAGUCAAGCCUUUUUCCUCUUUGUCUCCUUGAUGCAACUGCCCAGCACUUUGGUGGGGUUUGUCUGCUCCUUCACUGAACAAUUGUUUAUUGAGCAUGUGUCCUGUGCCAGGCUCUGUCCUUUGUGCUACUUACACAGUGGUAGACAAGGUCCUGACCUCUGCAAAACCAUAAAGCUUAUAUUGGGCAAAGGGGAUUCAAAUAAAGGAAUAUUAGAUAGUCACAUAGAGACCCUAUCAUAGCACAGUUCUGGCAGCAGCAUACUCAGUCAAUACUUGACCACAUAAGUUCUACAGAGAGGAAAUAUGGUUGCCAACGAGGUUUGGGCAUGGGGAAGAGUGAGAUGUGAGUAUUGUGAUCUGGAAGGUUUCUCUGAAGAGAGGUAGAGAAGAGUAGAAGUGUGUGUGUGUGUGUGUGUGUGUGUGUACAUGUGUAUGAGUGUGUGUUUGUGUGUGUGCAAGUGUGUGUUUAUGAGUGUGUGUUUGUGUGUGUAUGAGUGUGUAUAUGAGUGUGUGUUUGCGUGUGUGUGUAUGUGUGUAUGAGAGUGUGUAUGAAUUUAUGUUUGUGUGUGUGUAUGAGUAUGUGAGUGUGUAUGAGUGUGUGUUUGUGUAUGUGCAAGUGUGUGUUUAUGAGUGUGUGUUUGUGUGUGAGUAUGUAUGUGUAUAUGAGUGUGUGAGUGUGUAUGAGUGUGUAUAUGAGUGUGUGAGUGUGUAUGAGUGUGUAUUUGUGUGUGUAAGUGUGUGUAAGUGUGUGUAUGAGUGUGUGUGAGUGUGUAUAUGAAUGUGUGUUUGUAUGUGUAUGAGUGCAUGUGAGUGUGUGUGUCCUUAUGGAUACAUGUUCUGCCAGGUCUUAGGUUUGCUAACCAAACUCACCUCUGUGAUAAACAAAACAGCUUUUCAGCUUUAUUUAUAGAAAGAAAGCCUGGGAGAGGAAACACAUCAGGUAGGCACACAAAACCCAAAGACUAAUGGGGAUGGGAAUGAGGGGCGUCAGAACACCCUGCUCCAGGCUCUCUGUGAGAUGUCCAAAGCUAUCUCUCUGAUGCUCCUCAUCCCCUUGAGGGUUUGGUUCAGAACAUCGGCUGGGUAGCAGGUAACAGAGGAUGCUUUUGUUGUGUUUUCAAACAGAAACUGGGGAUUAAAGUAAGACACCAGAGGGAUGUUUGCUAAGUUAUUGAUCUUAACCAGAAAUGCUUUCCUUGCAGAUAACAAUUCUUUCCUGGCUGUGAGGAUCUUCAAGAUGCCUCAUCCACAGCGACAUACCUGGAGACUGAACCUGAAGGAAGCCAGGCAACCUGUCUGAGAACACCCAGUCAGCAAGGGGAAGAGGCUGCCUCUACUGCUGCUCAGAGCUGUUGCAGUGAAUAGCCACCACAUGCCUCCUGAGGUCCAAAUGCUUCACCCUGGACUGCGUACCUUUGUGGAGAGGAAGCACUACAACCCCCAUAAGGCCAAUGAUACUGUGUCCGGGGUAGUCAGAAGCUGGCCUCACAGUUGGGAUGUAACUCCAAGCCUUUCCUUGAGCCCCAGAAUCCCUUGUCCUCUGAACUUAGUGGCUGUCUCCACCACUGAAGGACUUGAAGCCAAGGGUGUGGGAAGCAAGAGUAGCUGCUGGGUAAUGGGAGGGGAGGGGACAGAGCUGGGAUGUGGCUAAGGACAGAGCUUAGGACCUGCUAUCAUCAGUUUUGUGUGAAUUUUUUUUCUUUCCAGGACAGUGCCACAGAUAUUGAACACACAGGAGGGCGUGUUACAAAACAAAAACCAAAAUAAACCACUCAUGAGGGUAAA
This is a non-coding RNA of Rattus norvegicus (Norway rat), 4854 nucleotides long. Lineage: Eukaryota; Metazoa; Chordata; Mammalia; Rodentia; Muridae. The record is from RefSeq and is a predicted model, not a curated record.